GACAUGGUUGGGGACAUCCGAUAAAAUUGAAACGAUACAGAGAAGAUUAGGAUGGCCCCUGUGCAAGGAUGACAAGCACAACUCGAGAUCAUGACACAUGCAU
Non-coding RNA from Cucurbita pepo subsp. pepo (vegetable marrow), 103 nucleotides. The record is from RefSeq and is a predicted model, not a curated record. NCBI's taxonomy places the organism in Eukaryota, Viridiplantae, Streptophyta, Magnoliopsida, Cucurbitales, Cucurbitaceae.